UGGGGAAUUUUCCGCAAUGGGCGAAAGCCUGACGGAGCAACGCCGCGUGAGGGAUGAAGGCCUCUGGGCUGUAAACCUCUUUUAUCAAGGAAGAAGAUCUGACGGUACUUGAUGAAUAAGCCACGGCUAAUUCCGUGCCAGCAGCCGCGGUAAUACGGGAGUGGCAAGCGUUAUCCGGAAUUAUUGGGCGUAAAGCGUCCGCAGGCGGCCCUUCAAGUCUGCUGUUAAAAAGUGGAGCUUAACUCCAUCAUGGCAGUGGAAACUGUUGGGCUUGAGUGUGGUAGGGGCAGAGGGAAUUCCCGGUGUAGCGGUGAAAUGCGUAGAUAUCGGGAAGAACACCAGUGGCGAAGGCGCUCUGCUGGGCCAUCACUGACGCUCAUGGACGAAAGCCAGGGGAGCGAAAGGGAUUAGAUACCCCUGUAGUCCUGGCCGUAAACGAUGAACACUAGGUGUCGGGGGAAUCGACCCCCUCGGUGUCGUAGCCAACGCGUUAAGUGUUCCGCCUGGGGAGUACGCACGCAAGUGUG
Molecule: ribosomal RNA, 527 nt
Filed under: uncultured bacterium
Lineage: Bacteria
Description: bacterial SSU rRNA
Rfam family: Bacterial small subunit ribosomal RNA
Source: RNAcentral